GGUCUAUUAGUCUAGUCGGUUAGGACGUCGCAUUCUGAUUACGGUUGGAACCUUCCGUAGGCCCAGGUUCGAAUCCUGGAUGGACCU
RNAcentral lists this transfer RNA (87 nucleotides) under Colletotrichum chlorophyti. It matches the Rfam family "tRNA". From Rfam's summary of the family: Transfer RNA (tRNA) molecules are approximately 80 nucleotides in length. Their secondary structure includes four short double-helical elements and three loops (D, anti-codon, and T loops). The record is from Rfam by way of RNAcentral. Lineage: Eukaryota; Fungi; Ascomycota; Sordariomycetes; Glomerellales; Glomerellaceae.